This 410-nucleotide ribosomal RNA is filed under the name Verrucomicrobiota bacterium. RNAcentral's name for it is "Verrucomicrobia bacterium partial 16S ribosomal RNA". It matches the Rfam family "Bacterial small subunit ribosomal RNA", at positions 355 to 776 of the family's 1533-position model. The record is from RNAcentral. Lineage: Bacteria; Pseudomonadati; Verrucomicrobiota.
UGGGGAAUAUUGCGCAAUGGGGGAAACCCUGACGCAGCGACGCCGCGUGCGGGAUGAAGGCCUUCGGGUUGUAAACCGCUUUUGAUUGGGAGCAAGCUUUCGGGUGAGUGUACCUUUCGAAUAAGCGCCGGCUAACUACGUGCCAGCAGCCGCGGUAAUACGUAGGGCGCAAGCGUUAUCCGGAAUUAUUGGGCGUAAAGCGCGCGCAGGCGGACUAGCCAGUCAGUCUUAAAAGUUCGGGGCUUAACCCCGUGAUGGGAUUGAAACUACUAGUCUAGAGUAUCGGAGAGGAAAGUGGAAUUCCUAGUGUAGCGGUGAAAUGCGUAGAUAUUAGGAAGAACACCAGUGGCGAAGGCGACUUUCUGGACGAACACUGACGCUGAGGCGCGAAAGCCAGGGGAGCGAACGGG